AUCGCUUCUUGGCCUUUUGGCUAAGAUCAAGUGUAGUAUUUGUUCUUACCAGUGUAACAUAUUUCUCAUGGAAGAAGACUGAGGAGGAGUGAGAUUAGUAGACUGGACAGCAUCCCAC
Molecule: small nuclear RNA, 118 nt
Filed under: Moschus moschiferus (Siberian musk deer)
Lineage: Eukaryota; Metazoa; Chordata; Mammalia; Artiodactyla; Moschidae
Description: U2 spliceosomal RNA (ENSMMSG00000018487.1)
Rfam family: U2 spliceosomal RNA
About the family: U2 is a small nuclear RNA (snRNA) component of the spliceosome (involved in pre-mRNA splicing). Complementary binding between U2 snRNA (in an area lying towards the 5' end but 3' to hairpin I) and the branchpoint sequence (BPS) of the intron results the bulging out of an unpaired adenosine, on the BPS, which initiates a nucleophilic attack at the intronic 5' splice site, thus starting the first of two transesterification reactions that mediate splicing.
Source: Rfam by way of RNAcentral